Molecule: ribosomal RNA, 126 nt
Filed under: Bacillus safensis
Lineage: Bacteria; Bacillati; Bacillota; Bacilli; Caryophanales; Bacillaceae
Description: partial 23S ribosomal RNA
Rfam family: Bacterial large subunit ribosomal RNA
Source: RNAcentral
AUGAGAUUUCCCAUUCCGCAAGGAAGUAAGAUCCCUGAAAGAUGAUCAGGUUGAUAGGUCUGAGGUGGAAGCGUGGUGACACGUGGAGCUGACAGAUACUAAUAGAUCGAGGACUUAACCUAUAUU